Molecule: ribosomal RNA, 253 nt
Filed under: uncultured bacterium
Lineage: Bacteria
Description: partial 16S ribosomal RNA
Rfam family: Bacterial small subunit ribosomal RNA
Source: RNAcentral
UACGGAGGGUGCAAGCGUUAAUCGGAAUUACUGGGCGUAAAGCGCACGCAGGCGGUCUGUCAAGUCGGAUGUGAAAUCCCCGGGCUCAACCUGGGAACUGCAUUCGAAACUGGCAGGCUAGAGUCUUGUAGAGGGGGGUAGAAUUCCAGGUGUAGCGGUGAAAUGCGUAGAGAUCUGGAGGAAUACCGGUGGCGAAGGCGGCCCCCUGGACAAAGACUGACGCUCAGGUGCGAAAGCGUGGGGAGCGAUCCGG